Molecule: non-coding RNA, 13423 nt
Organism: Taeniopygia guttata (zebra finch)
Lineage: Eukaryota; Metazoa; Chordata; Aves; Passeriformes; Estrildidae
Source: RefSeq, a predicted model, not a curated record
GGGGAGGAGGAGGAGGGGGCGCGGCGGGGGCAGCGCUGCCCGCCGGCACCGGGCUGGCCCCCGCAGCCGGGCGGGGAGGGGGCGCGGCGGUGAGUGGUGGGAGAGGGCGCCUGGGGGAGGCUACGAGCGGGAAUCCUGCCAGCGGGUCUCCUCACGCCCGCCCCCCGCUCCAGUGAAUGGCUAUUUUUGUUCCACUGGUAUUUUUGUCCUUGCUCUGAAGGUGCUUGGCGUUUAGCUGUUCGCUGCCGAUGACUCAUUAUGCAGUAUUUCUAGAAAACCCGCUUUCCUAUUUAUGGGGAAGCCAUCAUUCAGUGUAGAAUACGCAGUAGUGGUCGUGUUGAGCCGCGCCGCGGCUUCGUGGAAGGAGUGAGUAUGUGGAUCAGAUUCAUUCAGCUACGUGCAGCUGCACCUUCAGCAAGAUAAAAGCUUUGAAAACACCUAAUGAGAUAUCAGUUGGUGUAAAGGCUCCGGAAAUUUCCUUUAUCUUGCACUGUGCAAAAUACUCAAGAUUAUCUACAUUUAGCCUUGGAGAGAUGGUCCACUCUUGUGGACCAAGAGUGUUUUGAGCGUAGCCUCUUUGUUGACAUGCAGGAUUUCUGUGUGCAGGGUGUUCUCUGAAGAGCUUGGCUUUAAAUAAAAAUGCCUGCCUUCGUACUCUGCCAAACCGAUGGCAGCCUUAUUUUAUCAAAACUAGCUUGUUUUCAGGUUCUGCGCCGAGUAGUAGGUGGAUCCUGUUCGCUCGGUUGUAGCCUUGUAGUAGUGGAUGUGUGCGUGCGUGCGCCCGACUUGUUUGCCCUGCUAGCGGUGGGGGUGGUACCGCACCGUGGAUGUCUGAGAGGCGUGGAGCCGGGAGAGCCGCGAUCUCGGCAAAUCCCCCGGGAUCUGCCUCCCCUCCGGUCUCAGCGUGACGGAUGUCUGGUUUAAUCGAGGAGGAAGGGGGGAAAAAGCCUCCGUCGUUUUAACACUGACGAAAUCCUGCGGGUAAAUGUCUUUGAAAAACAAGUGUAGGGAAAACUCUGCCGCUCCUCUGUCAAUGAGCUCCUUCCGUGCAUUGACUAAAAAUCGACUUCCUUGAUCCUUGCUGUUACAUGCAGGGAUUCAUGGCUCUGAUUUCUUUACAUUUCUUUUGCCGUGGAGAGAAAAAAUUUCACCGUUAUUCCAGUCCUUGACUCACUUUCAUUUUUUUGCCACGAUUUAAUUACAGGCAUUGGAGAUAGAAGAGUUUGGGAUGGCAUAGCAUAACAUAUUAUCUCCUCACAGCUGAUGCUGGCUGUGGAAACCAUUACUUCCACAGUUUCUUCCACUUUUCCAGCUAGAUGUGACAAGUUUUCAAUCCUGAGUGUCUCUAUAAAACUAUUACGUAGUUUAGCUGAAGUAAUCCCUAUUAAAGUAGGGCAGGAUGGAGCCCAAGAAGGAAGGUGAAGCAGAGGUAGAGGAGAGGCUUAAUGUAGGUCACUGGUGGAUAUGGUCAGUUUUCAGUAGGGAAGCAUCCUAAUAUUUUGGGUUCAGGGUCCUACUGUUAGGUAAAAUAGCAUCUCAUCAAUGAAAUUAGUGCUUGAAGAGUUUUUUAGAGAACUGUUUCUCACUUUUGUCUCUGCUGCUUGCUGUAUCUGCAUGGGGGUGAAAGGAGAGGGAAGACUGGUGUGCUGCUGGUGUUGUCACACAGCACGUGUCUUUCUCCUUCCUGUCUCUGGAGCACAAUCUCCAGCCAUGGCUGUUGUGCAUCAGAGUCUCAAGAUAACUCCUUUGCAGUGUCCUUAUUUCUGUCUUCAGUGAUUUCCCAAGCAACCUGGGCAAAAACUCCUCACUCUGUCAGUGAACUUGCAUUUUCUUCUUUUUAAUAAAAUUGUAAUUGGAAAUAAUAAAAGGUAUCUUGUUAGCUUUUGAAAUCCAAAAGCCAUGAGUUCACAUGGUGUGACUUUCCUGUAGUGGAUCUAAAUUCCUGCUGAUGAAAGGCAUCAUCUUUUUUGAUGUUUUGUGCAUGCUGUGCUGUUCCUCACAAAUUGAACUGCUAUGUAUGAGCCUCAUGUUCUUAAAUUCCUGCCACAUGUUCAUCAGGUAUUGCUUUUUGGCAUGCUGGAGUUGCUUUUUGUUUUCCAGGCAAGUAUCAUGGUAAAUAAGGAAGAAAAACCCCACAGCUCUUUUCUAAUUGUUCAGUAUUUAAAUGUUAGCAUAUGGGUGACUUAAAUGCACAGGACAGCCCUAAGAGUCGCAGCAGAUGCCUGAGAGCAUUGUCCAAAAGCUUCCUGAGCUGCCAAGCUUGUGGCUAUGACCAUUUCCCUGGGGAGCCUGUUCCAGUGGCCAGCCACCCUCUGAGUGAAAAAUCUUUUCCUAAAACUCAACCUAAACCUCCCCAGACUCAGCUUCAAGCUGUUUCGUCAGGUCCUGUCCCUGGUCACCAGAGAAAAGAGAUCCAUGCCUGGCCUUCCACUUCCCCUUGUGAGGAAGCUGUAAAUUGUGAUGUGUCCCCUCAGUUUCUUCUACUCCCAGCUGAACACCUCUGAUAUUAGAGAAGAUAAAUGCUUUUUACAACCUCCAAAUGCUCGUGUAUUGCACAAGCCUGUCAAGGGCCUGGGUAUCAUUAGAAUUUCUUUUUUUAGUGACUGAAGGCACAUGAGCACAUUGAUUAUACAAUUGUGAUAUAAAGUUAGGUGAAAUUCCAGGUUUCUUGGCAGUGCACAUACUUCAGUGGGAUUUUUUUACUGGUGUUUUUUGUGGAAUACUUUCCUACUUUAUUUAUUACAACUAGCUUUGUGUGAUGCGAUAUUAAAGCAAGUUUUCGUAUCACUUUGGUCGUUCUGAUUGUGACCUUCUCCUGAUUCACACUUUAGUUUUUGAGGUGCUUCAAUUCUUGAAUUACAUUUCUGGUGUCGUCUGGAAUGUCUGGUACAUAUUUCACGCCUGGGAAAAGGUCUACAUGCCUUCAAGUUGUCAGCUUUUUCCAGUUGAACUAGUUAGUCUUACAAACUCAUAGUCUUAGUGAUUAUGUUCAUCUUUUGUCCUUAACUAUCGCAUCUACAGCAACAGUGCUGCUCCUGUGUUUACUCCUGUAGUCUGCUAUGGAUUCAGGUGUGGUUGAGUGGGGUUUUUAAUUCUUAAGAAAAUCAUCUUUGCUAUUUGAUCCUUCCAGUUCUCUUGAGAUGCGAUCUGUGCUGUAUUAUACAAAGUCACUGCCUUUUUUUUUUCCUGCUCUAGACAUUGUAAUAGAUCCUCCAUUAUUGUAAGGUAUCUAAUUACCAGAGCUUCAAAGCAAGCAUAUGUCAAGCCGCUUGAAAGAAGGCAUUUGUUUCCAGAUGGUUCGUUUUUUGUGUCAAGCUUUAUGCUGUUCAGCCAUCAUAAUGUCAAAUAUUGUCCAAAUGUUGCUCUCAUGGCCAUUACCCCAGCUUUCUGAAUUUCAUUUCUGUGGGGAUCAGAGCUGGGCUUCCUCUCUGACAUCCCUUCUCUUCUAACCAGUCUUUUGGUUGUCUGGACUCCUAGGUUAAUUAAACUGAGCUAUAUGAUAUAUGUGUGCAGGAUUGCUUUGUUUGUGGGGUUGUUUCGUUUAUUUGGGUUUGGGGCCUCUUUGUGCAGUAUGUGCUUUCUGCACCCUUUUUGCUUUCAGCUGCUGCUCUCUUGCUGAUGGUGCUUGGCAGGAGUACAGUAAUUUCCUUAUAUCCAGGCAUACAGACUCUUUACGCUGUGUGCCUGAAGUUAAAGUAAGCUAGAUUUCAGUGACAAAUAAAUGUAUUUUGAGAAUAUGCUUUUGGGAGUGUGUUCUGGUUUUGGUUGGUUUUUUUGUUUUAAUUUCUCCAGUUCUCAGUUACAGAAGCAACAGGUAGCUGUUGCUUCAUUGGGAAGAUUGUGAAUAGAGCUUUUCCCAAGUAUAGCUCUAAAAGAGAUGAAGCUCUUGUUGGGAUGAGGGUACAUUCAUUAGACAGCAUGUAUGUUACAGGUCUUGGGUGGUCUCUCAAGCCUGCCCACAAGGCUGUGGCUCUGCUGGGGAGGGCUGUGACCUUGUUGUGCCCACCUGACCCUAAUCUUGAAUGAGCUUCUUUGGGUGUGGAGGAGUGACCCUGCCGUGGCUCCUGUGGUGUGAUGUGUGGUGGAUUUUUUUGCUUGCUGUGUGCUGUACAGUUGGGUCCCAGCCCACAUCCUAUCUGGCACACAUCCUAUCUGGAUGCUGGCAUUCAGGACACCUUGUUUCUGCAUGAGACAUGUUGGCUUUGGUGUGUAGUUACCCUCUGCUACAAAGUUUAUCAGGCCCGAGAAGAUCAUUGUUUCUGGAGGGCUGUAAGAGCUCAGCAAACACUCAAAGGGGUUGUGUUUACUUCUGGUGUGAUGGACUUUUUCUGAGCAGAAGUAUGUUUGUCCUGGGGCAGGGAAGGAUGGAGCCGCUCACAUUGCCCAGGAUUUUUCAUCCCUGCCAAGGGUUCCAGAAUGAGCAUAUAGGAGAUAAAGCUCAGCUGUAUCAUAGAGUUUUCAAAACACAGUGAAAGAUUGAGGCCUUAGGAGGAAAGGGCUCCUUUGCACAUACAUCCGUGUGGAUCUUUGUUUCAAGUGAUAAAGGAUGGUAUAGGAAAGGCCAAGGAGAGGAGGUGAGGUUUUUACCAAGCCCAAAGUAGUGUUAGAGGUAGCAGUGCUACAGGGCAAGCAAGGGGAAUUCUGCUGUGUGGCUGCUGGGGAUGCUCCAUUUCUGGUCUCUCAGAGUGGAGAGCUGCUCACUGACCUCUGGCCCACGGGGUGGCGGUUGUGGUAUAGCUAGGAACAAAACACAGAAGCUUUCUUGAGCUUUGGUGGAAAGAAGAGAAUCUACCUCUCUUGGCCGGACCUUGGAGAACCCUCCCCUCUCAUCCCAGUGGAUGAUCAUCAUAAAUUGGUCUCAUCCAAAAGAAAGCUAAUUGUGGCCACUCAACACUAAUUACUUUUGUGGUAAAGCAAUUAAUGGAAAUUUAUGUGAUGCCUACCAAAUUCUCUCUUUGUAAGAAUUGAAUUAAGGGGGUGAGGCAGGCCAGGAGGCAGUAGAAAAAAGACAUAGAGGAAACUACAAACCUUCAGUGUGAGUUGAUUCAAGAGCAGUUGCUGUAGAUUUUCCUGCCAGGUAAAUGUCAGAUUGUGGGGUUGCACUCCUUCCUGGAGAGAAUGGCAUAGGUUAACUUCAAGCCAAGCCAUCUUGGAGUUAGACUGAGUGCUUGCAGCCAUAAGAUAGGUGUUGGCGAGUGCUCUGCCGUGUCCCAGCAAUAAUUUGCUUGUGCAUUUGCCUUCUAUUUCUAAGUUGUUUCAGAUAAGGGAGGGAAAGGAUGAUCAGAAUUUCUUGGUGGACUGGUGGAACACCCUUCAGGUGCUUUCCUACUGCAGCCCUGACUAGUGAUGGAUUUCUCUGUUAGUCCUGAGUUAAAAUCAGAGUCCCAGUCUGUAAAGGGACUGAGCUGUCUUUAUAGAGAGUUGUGCUUAAGUUUUUGUAGAGAUGGCUGAUGCCAUUGUAUGCAUUUUAUUAAUUCUGUCACUUUCUAAGAUUGUACCCUUGUUAAUGGUGCACUUGCACCAAAGUCUCAUUCAAAGAAAAUUGCUAGAGAGCAUCCAUAUGCACCCGUAUGUGCAUUACAUAUAUUAGAACAAUUUAAUGGUCUCUUCUUUUGUAUACCAUUUCUACAAGGCUGCUAUUAAAAUGUAAGGUCAUUUGUCUUUUCCUGAUGUGGUAAAAAAGAUGUUGGCCAAAUCUUCCUUCCUCACAGGGUCUUGGGUACAGUUUCCUGUUUGCAGUAGUAAAGAAGUAAGUCUUUGAUGUUGUACCCGCCAUUUAGCAAAAUGGUAUAUAGCUGUCAUGACUCCUGCAACAGCAGCUGGUUCAGUAAUUUUAAUAAUUUAUCAGAAGAAUAUUUAAUUUUUUACCUUCUAGUUGUAAGGUGACUUUAAGAGAAGAAUGAGAGGUAGUGUUUCUGAAAUUACCUGCUACAAAAAAUAGCAGUUGCUUGCUGCUUAGAGGAGUUGUGCUAAAAAAGGAACUUUCCCAUCCCUCUGUAAAAUCAUGUCUUGGAAUACGCUUAAAGUGUGUGUCCAAAACCUCUUUGCUCUGUUCUACAUGGACAGAAAAUGUGUAAAAGUAGGAGUCAAGGUUAUCUGGAGACUGUUGCAGUAAUCCCAGAGUUAUUUUUAAACUUGAAAUAUUUUGCAGAGUUCUGCCCCUCAUUGCCUCCCCACCUUCUUCCCAUCCCCCCCCCUUUACUGUGAAUUAGUGCUUGAAAAAAUAGUAGUAAAUACUUAAUGCAUGUCACCACUGGAAACAUGUCAAGUAAUUUGGAGGAGAAGUUCAUGUUACUCUUGGUUUGUACAGAGCUUGUGGUUGAGCGCUCCAGUCCUGUAGUUGGAUCUCUCGAAGUUUUUGCCCGCUUGCAGAGGGUCUGCUGCAGGCAGAGGCAUUGCCGAGCUUCAGGACCAGAGCCAAGAUGGUCAGGAGGCUUAUUCAUCGCUGGCAAAGGGCAGAAGGCAUCAUGCUGUGCAGUAGACAGUCUUGCUGUGGGUUAUUUGGUGUUUUUUAAAAAGUAAUUAACAUUGCUUCUGUGACUUAGCCCAUCUUAAAUGGUACAGAACUGUAUUUUCCCUCCCCCUUCAUGUAUGUAACCCAGAUGUAAUUUCCUAUAAAUAAUUUAACUACUUCAGCAGCUGUUGAGAAUGAGCUAUACCUACUUAAGAAAGUCUGAAGAAUUUUUGAAGCCUCUUCAAACAGCAUACUCUUUUUUCUUUGAUUAAUAUAACAAUGUCUUUUGCUUUUGAAAGAAGACGUUUAUAGAACUGGCUUGUGCUUCCUUAGCUUAAAAUUAGUAGGGUAUUGCUGUACUCUUUUCUUGUUUGCAAAUGUAUUAAGGGACCUGCUUGUUUUGAGGACAGAAGAAGUGAGGUAGUAACAGAGAAACAAGAGGGUCCUUUUUUGCAGAAGUCAGAAAUUAUGAAACAAGCUUAAACUGGAGGAAGAGCUUACAGAGACCUGUUCUAGAAAUGUAGCCUAUGUAGUAAUCAUGUCAAAGAAGGCAACUAUGUUGUCACUGGUAAAGUUGUUUUAUGAUAGAAUAUCUUGUUGCAUAUCUGUCUGUAAACUGAUCUUGUUAUAUAAACUGCGAUUGUGGGAGAUCUACUUGGCUGGUCCCGCCUUGUCUGCAAAGUACAGUGGUGUCUUUGGGGUCUCCUUGCAAUCAGGUUAUUUUGCACCUAGCAUAGAUCCCUGUUUCUUUGGGAAGAUCAGAAUUUUUCCUUGGGUGCUUUGAGGAUCUGGGUGGGGUUUGACCCCUUGAUGUUUUUUGUUUUGGUUUUGAAUCUUGCUUGUUAUAUGGUACUUCAGUCAGUAGAUGCCUUGAUUUGGGGCAGUCUGUGUACUUGCUGUUUGAGAGGAUAAUUCCAUUCUGACUGAGGCCUUGGUAGGAAACCUUUCUCAGCCUUGAACUAAAUCCUGGGUGAAUUUGUAAGCAUUGAAAAAUGAUUCAUGUUUGUGUACUUACUGCUCUUAUACUGGUGGCAAGAGGCCAUAGAUGAGCUUGGGGUACAUCAUGUGAAGCAGCCCAAAUAUUCAAAGGGUAGAGUGGGAACUGAAAAUAUAGGGAGAGUGUGUUGCUUCAUGCUAUAUUAUCUGGAAAGAGCAGCAGGCAUCUAUCAGAGUGUUGAAAUAUUAGGAUUUGCAUAGGAGGGAGCAAUGACCUCAUAUAUCGUGCUUAGCUCUAUGCUGGGAUGUUCUUCAAUUUGGGACUUUUGCUGCUGCUGCAAUUCAUGACAUGGAUUUGGGAAGAAGGUUAUCACUGGCUUUGGAGUUGUGGACAUGGAACCUAACCUACACUGUAGGUUAAUGUAAUUGGUAAUACAUUAAUUUGUAAUAAUGUAAUGUAAUGGGCAUGCUUCUUCCUCACAGAGCUACAGCACAAGAGCAAGGAUGCAAAGUUAGCUGCUCUGGGUAGCAUACAACUUCCCUUACGGUGUUUCUCCUGAGUAAUAAUGGGAACAGUGAUUAGCUGUGCUUAGCAGUGAUGACAGUCCAGCUUUAAAUAACAUGUGGAGCUUCCUAAGUGAGGACUUACUGAGCCUGAAAUAAAACUGCUGAGAAUCUAAAGCAUUUUGUUCAGCACACUGCAAGAGCUGUGUUCUUAAGCCUGGACUUUAGUGCAGCAAAAUACAGGGGCCAGAGAGAAAUUAGUAUCAAUCUUAAAAUUACAUCUUCCUUAAAAACUGGUGGCACAGGCUUCAAGUGGAGGAUGGUGGUGCCCUGUGCUCCUCACCCUCAUUGCAGCCUAUUUCAAGGGUACCUAAGGCCAUACACUACUGUCUGCCAGUGUUGGUCCCUUGGUCCCCCAGGGAAAAUGCGUGCAGAAUCCUGUCACAACUGUGCGCCUCAGAAGUGCUGUGGGACGGUGCUGGGUUGCAAAAGUAGACUUCUGGAGAAAAACCAUCUUUUAUUGCAUUCUCUGUGCACUAAAAGCUCUUGCACAUUUCCUCUGGGGUCUUUGGUUACUCCACUUCAGGAAGAUGCCAGUGAUGUAAAUGCAAGGAGGGAAAGCUAUGGUUAAUUGUUAAUCCAAUUAAGGUGGACUGAUGAUUUAGAAAACAUGGGUUUGCUGAUUGCAAGUAGUGGUCAUGUUCAUUGUCCCCCUGCAUCAGGUUCGGGAAGCUGACCCUAGUUUUCAUCUUUGCUGUGAAAUGAAGUUUUUUUUAAAGUCCUAAAUGUCUUUAUUACUUCUGCUAAUUAUUUUAUCUAAACUGCACCUUUCUCUUUGCCACCCCCUCUUUCCCUACCAAACAACCCUGUGCAUCCAUUUUUUGUGUGUGGACUUGUCAUGCUUACAUGAAGUUGGAGAUGAAAAGCUAAUUUGCUAUUCAGUUAAUUACUAAAACUUGCUAAUUUCUCACUGAAAUGAAAAUAUAUGUUUCAUAUUAUUUUUCAAGCUUAUUAAAGGCUUUCAAUACUGAAUUGUUCAGAACUAAAUGCAUAAUGUAGCAUAACAAGCCAAGUUUCUUUCUCUCUCCAAGCCAGAAAUUUAUUUGAAAUGUGGGAGAAGUUUCUACUGAAAUACUGUGCAGGCUGACUCUUACAAGCAAGAAUGAAAAGUGUUUGCGAUGACACUAUUUCAGUUCUGCUCAUGCUUUCAGGAAAUAUGCUUAGUAUUGAAAUAGGUUUGAAUAAGAUGCAAUUUUCUAGGAAGAAUUGUCAGAUAAGGAGAGUUAGAGAGUUCUAGCAACUUCAAACCUGUUCUUUCUGUUCUGAGUUCCUGGAAGAAAUCACAGGAUAGUUUAUUGCAACAAAACUUCUAUCAUAAUCUACGAUCAGUUGGGCAAAUUCUCAUAAUUCCUCUAACUGCCUUCCAGACACAAGGAGAUUUUGGGGAGCCCUGUUCUCCUACCAGCCUCUCAAACGCAGCAGAAUAGUUUUUUAAAAAACUUGAAUUCUUGGGCAUAUCUAGAAAAGUAAUUUUGGGUGAUAGCUUCUGCAUAAGUGAAAGCAUAGUAUAACAAACAUGCAGAUGAGCACAAACAUGGUGUGAGAGGAAAAUUAAUGAUUUUGAAGAAGUUCAAGCUGACGACCAUGCUCAAGGUAGGCAGUAUUUGGUGGUCCAAAGGAGGGUCCAGGAGGCAAAGACCCAAACAUACCUCUACUCUGGGCCCUGUAUUGGCCAGGGUUUUGUCUGCUACAGUGGAAUUAUGGCUGGGGGGAAGGGUGAUGCUUGGGAAGACUUGCAGGACUUGUGUCUUGGAGGAAGUUCCUGUGUUCCAGCUGCCCAGAGCUGCAGAUCCUGGGAGCCUCAGUACUGCAUCCCUGAUGCUGACAAAGACAUAAAUUUUGCCGUGCAGCUGUAGAUUCCCAGGGGAGGAUGGAUUCACAAAAUGCCAUCUGCUGUUUUGUGGAAACAGUAACAUUUUUUACACUUUUCUUUUUUAAUAUGGCCUGAAAUAAUAAGUAAUUUCAUAAAAUAUCUGCUCUUUAUCUCCAAAAAAGAGAUAGGGUGCAUUAUUUAAAACAAACGUUUGACUAUUGUGCAUCUUUUUCUUUUAGGGUUGUUUAUUUGGGUUUGUUUUGAUUGUGGUUUGAUUGCUUUUAUUUUGUCUUUUGUUUGAUUUUUGUUUGUUUGUAUUUAAUUGAAAAAAUAAAUUUGACAGGUGUUAUACUGUAGAAUCAAAAUGUUCGGAGUUGGAAGGGACCUUAAAGUUCAUCUAGUCCCAUGGGCUAGGACACUUUCCACUAGAUGACUGGAUUAAGUUGCUCAAGGCAUUGCCAAGCCUGGCCUUGAACACUGGUAUAUUUCUAUACUGGCAUCCAGCAGCAUUCACAAACUCUGUACAUCCUCAAGCCCUCUUCUUCCACCUUUUGUGACUAAUUAUUUUCACCACAGCAUUUGCUGUGGCAUAGAACAACUCAAUAUCAUGGUGCUCUCAAGAAACCCUGUAGCUGUUUAGGCUGCAGGUGGGUAUACACUUUUUGAUUCCACUUCCACAUUAACCUUGAGUUAGAAUCAGACAGCUGAUACCUCAGUUCCACUGACAAAGAAUGAGGUUUCAGUCCACCUAGCUUUACCCUGAUGAGAUGCAGACCCUCCUGGAACAGUUCUGCUAAUAGCAGGAGGCUGGGAAUUAGGGAUGCAUGGGUGGUGUGUAGAACCAGCAAGAUUUCAGGCUGUACUGCUUGUGCUGUGAGUGAGGUGAGCCUGAAUGGAGGUGGCUAGGCACCACUCUAGCUAUGGCAUCUAGUCUAGAUGCUUCAUCUCCCUAUAGAAGACCUGUUACACUAUGGUCUCAUAAAUACUGUUGUCUUUAGCAAAGUUGUUUGAUUUGUUGGGUUUUUAUCCUUUCUCUCAGUCAACUAAACAUUCCUUGCCAGUUACUCAUUAAGAUGGGCCACACCUUACGCUUUCUGACCGAGUCUCAGUGAAUGAGAGGUGCUAGCCCUGAAUACACGUAGCUUUUUUUUCUGGCUUGCCUCCAGGUUGGUUUAUUUUCCUUUCAUAUUGUGAGACCCUUUGGACUGUGCUUGAGGAGGAUCUGCAACCACUGCCACACUGCUCUGCAAUGGCUUUUUUUUUUGCUUAAAACUUUUGCAGUUUAGAUAAGUUCCUGAAGAAGAGCUGAUGAACCUCUUCUCGCUCUGGGUCUUUUGUGUGUAUGAACUCUUUUGAAGAGUGGAAAGCAUCAGUAUGGCCAAAAUGUGCAGUAGUGAAGAGAAACAGAAAGCUGACUUGCUUUGUCUCCUAAUCUCACACUGCUUCCUUUCCCUGUGGUGCCAGAAAUACCCCACCCUGCACCCUGCUUUCCUGAGGAGGUGCCUACUCUGCUUGCUGCUUCUACCCACCUCAGCAUACCCUGCAACUGGGUACCCUAGAGCAGUUACAAAGAUGGAAAUACUGUAUGAAUUCCUUACUGUUCAAGUGCAGCUAAAUAAUUUCAUAUUUAUUUGCUAAAAGAAACAAAAAACUUACUUGAAGAUCUUAGGUUAAUUGCUUUUCAAUUUCAUUUAAUUUGCAGUCUUUUUAAAAACUAUCUGAUAGCAAUGUGGAUCACUGAAUGCAGGAGUAUGUGUGUGUAAUAGUUAAAAAAAACCCACAACAAAUCAUGAUAAAACCACACAAGCAAAAACCAGCGCAGAACCCCACCUUGUGAGCUUUUACACCACACUCACUACACUCUUGAAGUGUAGUCUCUAGCUGUCACUGUCUGAGACCAGUUGGAGAAGCCCUGGUAUGUCAUGCUGCAGUUAGUAUAUCUGGCAUCAGUCCACGCUACAGCCAAAAAAGGCAGCGCUCCUUGCUGCUUCUUUCCUUUUCAUCCGGUGUCCUGGCACUCAAGUUUGUGUGGCUGUACAGUGAACUCAUUCAGGGGAAACUGAUCCUCUUAAACCUUUCUAUUUAUUUGUUGCUGUUGAAUUAACUUCCAGUCAAUUGAUUCUUUGCUCUGGUUCUUGGUGCAACCGUGUGAGCCUGGUUUGCUGCACGAGCAGUAGCCCAAGAGGGAGGAGGUGGGAGGGGGAUGUGAUGUUGGGCCAUCCCUCCUUGUAGGUCCUUGAACUUAGAGUGGCGGCACCUGAAGCAAUUGUGCUUGCUCUGUGUCCAUGCAUAUGUGUUGUACCUGGGCUGUGUAUGGGCAACGUGCUCUUACUGAGGGUGUGUUUAGGAUGCUGGUGCUGAAGUGAGAUCCAGACAGUGAAGCCAAAGCAGGCUGAAGAGAGCAGGAGAAGUAUCGAGACAGGAGCCCUGUGUGUGAACACGCGUAAGGUGACAUUUCUUGGAAAAGUUUAGAUGUGAGCUAGUUUGCACGUGAAGUUUAAAAUUUACAGAAAUGUGACACUGUCUUGCAGCACACCUUGGCGCCUUUGUAAAGUUUAUUACCUGUUCUGACACCUUUAACCAGCUCACGUUUGAGAAAGGAUUACUGCCCUUAGCUGCUAGCAGCCCCCUUCUAGCCUUCCAGAGGCCUCUCCCACUACAUGAAAGUCAACAGUGACCAAGAGUAAAUCUCAAAAAUCUCAUCACCUGUGAUGACAUAUUUGUUCUAGUGAACAAAAGCAGAUCAUUAUUUGGGACUUAGUGUGUAUUUUGCAAGGAUGCUGCCACAGCCUGCUGCAAUGUCCUUGCCAAGCUGGGGACGUUGUGGCAAGGAGGUGGAGUAUUGUUGGAUCAUGGGCAUGAAGUGGUCUCUAGUGGCUUGAGAGCUGCUGGACAGAUGGCUGCGAGUGUCAUUUUCCAGGUGUUGGUAAUGAGGUUGAUGCAGUUCAGCACCUUAUUAACAUCUUCCAUCACAGGCAAGAUAUUACUGUGUUACUGAUGCCACUGUUAGUGACACCAAAUUGGGAGAGGAAGAAGCAAUUCAUGUGUUGAAGGGCAGGGCUGCCAUUCAAACCAACAACCUGUGGCAUGGGCUGACCAGUGUUGCCUACUUCUGCAGAGGAAGUACGCCUGGGACACAGUAACUCUGUGCAAUAGGAUGGGCUGGACUAGACAGCAGAUCUGCAGAAAAGAGCUGGAGGUCCUGGUGGACAGGUUGAUCAUGGAUCAGCCAGUGUUUCUGUGGUUCUGUAAAAUCAAAAUGUGUUCUAGAGACCUUAAGAAAAGACAGAUUAACAAUGCUUGGGAACCGUAUGAUCCGUGUGAACUUAGUGAUUCAUGCAUUUGUGGAGGCAAGGUGUGUGAUCAUGAGAGGUUUGUUGCCCUUGGGAAGGCAAGCAGAUACGAAGUGUAAAGGCUGCAUGCAUUUUUGUUUAUUUAAUGGCUUCUGGGAACGUUUUAGCUGAAGUCCUGAACUGGUGAUUUCUUUCUCCAUACUGAGGGUAGAAACACUUGCAGCUUUUUUCUUUUUGCUGUCUGAAGUGCCCUGUAAGCAAGAUGGGGAAAAGAGCAGUGGCGUCCUGUUUGUGGAUAUGAAAUAUGUCCCGUGAGAUAAAGCACAGAGAUUGCUUCAGAGUGAGAAGAAUAUAUUUUAUGCA